AUGGGCAGCCGGUUUGUGAAUCUGUUGGCCAUGAGCUGCAACGGCGGCCCCAGACACUUCAGCCUUCACUGCUUGAACCCGGCAAACUUAUUUCGCCCAGCCCGGUCACGGCCAGCGCUUCGAGCAGUUCAUCGACGGCCAGCGGACGCCCCGCUGCCUCCGCCGUCCCUGUCAUUCGACUGGCCCUGCAGGAAGGGCGAAGAGGCGUGGAUGAAUUUCAUGGCUUUCGGCCCCGGCCGGGAAAACCUCCUCGCCGUGGACCAAAUCGGCAGGAGCUUCUUGUACAACCACGACUCGCGCUUGCUCCGCACUGGGAUGCCCAAGAUGCGCAAGCCCAUUAUCGACCCCAUCUCCGUUGCCGUGGGCGACAGCCUAUACGUCAUGAGCGGCAACCCUGGCCGGCUGCCCGAUCGGGGCUGCUUCCAGGCUCUCCUCAACACCCGCCUGCCUGCUAGCCACGCCCAAGACUGGUGCUGGUAUUCCCUCCAGCCACCGCCUUUCUUUGCCGACGACGAUGACGGGGUGGAUCGAUCCAGCUGCCGCGAUGCCCCAAUGCCCUUUGAAAUCAGUGCCUACGCCGUGGUUGACGAUUCACAGAUCUGGAUAUCCACAUCUGGCGCCGGCACAUACUCGUAUGACAUCGCGAGUGGCGCGUGGAGCAAACUAGGCAACUGGGCACUGCCGUUCAGAGGUCGCGCCGAGUACAUCCCUGAGCACAACCUCUGGUUUGGCUUCACACCCGACGAUUUGCUGCUCUGCACAUCGGACCUCACUGCCUCGUGUGAGUUGAGGCCGCCCGUGCUGCAGGAUGUGUGGACAGACGUGAACAGGCCAGAAGAUUGGACCCUGACAGACGCCAGCAUUGUGCCGCUCGGCUCCGGUCAAGUCUGCGUUGCCAGGUUCUUUCUUACCUGCCCAGAGGAGAGCAUUGAGGAUGUGUAUGGCUAUGCCCUUGAGAAAACAGAGAGUUUUGCUGUUCUCGAGGGCGUCAAAUUGUUAAAGGCUGGGUGGGCUCAUCUCCGGAUGGUUAAGCACAAGUCGGAGCGUUACGUCUUCGGCCGUGACCUUGUCAUACCGCUGUGA
Molecule: ribosomal RNA, 1083 nt
Filed under: Triticum aestivum (bread wheat)
Lineage: Eukaryota; Viridiplantae; Streptophyta; Magnoliopsida; Poales; Poaceae
Description: partial small subunit ribosomal RNA
Source: RNAcentral